Long non-coding RNA from Ipomoea nil (Japanese morning glory), 119 nucleotides. RefSeq lists it as uncharacterized. NCBI's taxonomy places the organism in Eukaryota, Viridiplantae, Streptophyta, Magnoliopsida, Solanales, Convolvulaceae. The transcript is spliced from 3 exons. The record is from RefSeq and is a predicted model, not a curated record.
UAACCCGAGCCCUGAAUUGGCCAAUAAUCAGCUUAUGGGUGGCGCAACAGUUGUGGAGAGGGGGAUAAGUGUUUUAUUGUCCACAUUUUCACCUCUUAUUUAAAUUAUUUUAUUCGUGA